UUGAAUAUGUUGGCUUCCCCAUGGGAGCCCGUGGGAAAUUAUUUGAGUUGCUGACCGCACUUAAGAGAGUCAUAGCUACACCCACCAUUUACCCGCGCUUCGUAGAAGUUCUUCAGUUUGACAUUCAGAGCACUGGGCAGAAAUCACAUUGCAUCAAAACCCACCUCUGGCCUUUGCGAUGCUUUGUCUAAAUUAAACAGUCGGAUUCCCCUCGUCUGCACCAGUUCUAAGCCAGCUGCUAGGCGCCGGCUGAGACAGGGCACCGGCCCAGGGAGUCUGACCGGGGACCCUCCCCCGCACGAACUGUGGGAGGCCGUGCGCGCCGUGGGGACCCCACCAGCAGGAACUGGGGGCGGCAGCAUGGCGACGACGGCAGCCGCCACUGGGGCGCCGUCCGCGGCAAGGCAGAGGCCGAGCGGAGGGGGUGGCGGGCCACGCCUGCCGCAGCUGGGGCGAUCCACAGGAAGGGCCCGGCACGUGUCCAGAGUCGCCGCCGCGCACAUGCGUGCCCUGGUGCCCAGGCGGGCCACGCAGAGUGCACUCACCCGCACACAGCGCCUCAUCCAGCUGCGGUGCGCGCCCAGCCCAGCUUCAUGCCCCAGCCCGACGGACCCAACCCUUAGAGCCAAUCCUUAUCCCGAAGUUAUGGAUCCGGCUUGCCGACUUCCCUUACCUACGUUGUUCCAACAUGCCAGAGGCUGUUCACCUUGGAGACCUGCUGUGGAUAUGGGUACGCUUUCCAAGGCGCAAAUAAAAGAGAACUCUCCCCGGGGCUCCAACCGGCUUCUCCGGGAUCGGUUGCGUCACCGCACUGGGUGCCUCACGGCACCUGUUUCCGCCGGUCCGGAUUCGGGGAUCUGAACCUGACUCGCUUUCGAUUGGCUGAGGACAACAGAGGCCAUCGUCCGCCAUUUCGGAACGGCGCUCGCCUAUCGCUUAGGACCGACUGACCCAUGUUCAACUGCUGUUGACAUGGAACCCUGCUCCACUUCGGCCUUCAAAACUCUCGUUUGAAUAUUUGCUACUACCACCAAGAUCUGCACCUGCGGCGGCUCCACCCAGGCCCACGCCCCAGGCUUCGAGGCGCACUGCAGCGGCCCUCCUACUCGUCGCGGCUUAGCCCCCGCGGGCAUCGCACUGCCGGUGACGGCCAGGUAUGGGCCCGACGCUCCAGCACCAUCCAUUUUCAGGGCCAGUUGAUUCAGCAGGUGAGUUGUUACACACUCCUUAGUGGAUUCCGAUUUCCAUGGCCACCGUCCUGCUGUCUAGAUCAACCAACACCUUUUCUGGGCUCUGAUGAGCAUCAGCAUCGGGUGCCUUAACUUGGCGUUCGGUUCAUCCCACAGCACCAGUUCUGCUUACCAGAAGUGGUCCACCGAGCA
Molecule: long non-coding RNA, 1382 nt
Filed under: Junco hyemalis (dark-eyed junco)
Lineage: Eukaryota; Metazoa; Chordata; Aves; Passeriformes; Passerellidae
Description: lncRNA (ENSJHYG00000013654.1)
Source: RNAcentral